AGCUAGUUGGUGGGGUAAAAGCUCACCAAGGCGACGAUCUGUAGCGGGUCUGAGAGGAUGAUCCGCCACACUGGAACUGAGACACGGUCCAGACUCCUACGGGAGGCAGCAGUGGGGAAUUUUGGACAAUGGGGGCAACCCUGAUCCAGCCAUGCCGCGUGAGUGAAGAAGGCCUUCGGGUUGUAAAGCUCUUUCGGCCGGGAAGAAAUCGUAUCAGCUAAUACCUGGUGCGGAUGACGGUACCGGCAUAAGAAGCACCGGCUAACUACGUGCCAGCAGCCGCGGUAAUACGUAGGGUGCGAGCGUUAAUCGGAAUUACUGGGCGUAAAGCGUGCGCAGGCGGUUUUGUAAGACAGGCGUGAAAUCCCCGGGCUCAACCUGGGAACUGCGUUUGUGACUGCAAGGCUAGAGUACGGCAGAGGGGGGUGGAAUUCCACGUGUAGCAGUGAAAUGCGUAGAGAUGUGGAGGAACACCAAUGGCGAAGGCAGCCCCCUGGGUCGAUACUGACGCUCAUGCACGAAAGCGUGGGUAGCAAACAGGAUUAGAUACCCUGGUAGUCCACGCCCUAAACGAUGUCAACUAGGUGUUGGGAGGGUAAAACCUUUUAGUACCGGAGCUAACGCGUGAAGUUGACCGCCUGGGGAGUACGGCCGCAAGGUUAAAACUCAAAGGAAUUGACGGGGACCCGCACAAGCGGUGGAUGAUGUGGAUUAAUUCGAUGCAACGCGAAAAACCUUACCUACCCUUGACAUGUCAGGAACUUUCCAGAGAUGGAUUGGUGCUCGAAAGAGAACCUGAACACAGGUGCUGCAUGGCUGUCGUCAGCUCGUGUCGUGAGAUGUUGGGUUAAGUCCCGCAACGAGCGCAACCCUUGUCGUUAAUUGCCAUCAUUUAGUUGGGCACUUUAGCGAGACUGCCGGUGACAAACCGGAGGAAGGUGGGGAUGACGUCAAGUCCUCAUGGCCCUUAUGGGUAGGGCUUCACACGUCAUACAAUGGUCGGUACAAAGGGUCGCCAAGCCGCGAGGUGGAGCUAAUCCCAGAAAGCCGAUCGUAGUCCGGAUUGCAGGCUGCAACUCGCCUGCAUGAAGUCGGAAUCGCUAGUAAUCGUGGAUCAGCAUGUCACGGUGAAUACGUUCCCGGGUCUUGUACACACCGCCCGUCACACCAUGGGAGCGGGUUCCGCCAGAAGUAGGUAGCCUAACCGCAAGGAGGGCGCUUACCACGGCGGGGUUCGUGACUGGGGUGAAGUCGUAACAAGGUAGCCGUAGGGGAACCUGCGGCUG
Molecule: ribosomal RNA, 1286 nt
Filed under: metagenome
Description: bacterial SSU rRNA
Rfam family: Bacterial small subunit ribosomal RNA
Source: RNAcentral